RNAcentral lists this long non-coding RNA (521 nucleotides) under Homo sapiens (human). RNAcentral describes it as "HSALNT0153904". Lineage: Eukaryota; Metazoa; Chordata; Mammalia; Primates; Hominidae. The record is from RNAcentral.
CUACCCAUCGGAGGAUGCUCUGUCUUGUGGGUGUAGAUCGGGUGCUUAGCACAUGACCACAGACCUAGGAGAGCGGGUUGAGGAGGUAUCACUUCGGGGCCCUUUACAGAUAUGUGAGCAUUUUCACUUAGCCCUAGUGGAGAAGGAAAGGCGAUGGGGGAAGGGUGCAGUGUGGCAACAGAGGCGCUGGACCUGGCUUCCAGUCCUGGCUCACUAGCAUCUGCUUAGGCCAGUCACUCCUCUUCCUUGAGCCUUAAGACCUGCCCCAUCAACCUCCCAAGGUUGCUUAUUCAUUGAGCAAACAUGGAAUAUCCAAUAAAGGGUGAAGGGUCACUUAAAACAGGCAUAUGGCAGUGCUCUCUAAACAUGGGAGGGCGCAACAACCCCAGAUUGUGUAUUCUUAGCCAGUUUUUGACUCUGUGCCUUGGGCAACCCCUGCCUUGGCUUGUGCUGUCUUCUCCAUCUGGCCUGUCCUUUCCUUUCCUACCUGACUAACUCCUUGUCAUGAGCUUCACCCCUUC